UACGGAGGAUGCGAGCGUUAUCCGGAUUUAUUGGGUUUAAAGGGAGCGUAGACGGGAUGUUAAGUCAGCUGUGAAAGUUUGGGGCUCAACCUUAAAAUUGCAGUUGAAACUGGCGUUCUUGAGUGCGGUAGAGGCAGGCGGAAUUCGUGGUGUAGCGGUGAAAUGCUUAGAUAUCACGAAGAACUCCAAUUGCGAAGGCAGCUUGCUGGAGCGUAACUGACGUUGAUGCUCGAAAGUGUGGGUAUCAAACAGG
RNAcentral lists this ribosomal RNA (253 nucleotides) under Bacteroides caecigallinarum. RNAcentral describes it as "partial 16S ribosomal RNA". It matches the Rfam family "Bacterial small subunit ribosomal RNA", at positions 524 to 776 of the family's 1533-position model. The record is from RNAcentral. RNAcentral also lists the same sequence under 1 other name. Lineage: Bacteria; Pseudomonadati; Bacteroidota; Bacteroidia; Bacteroidales; Bacteroidaceae.